This 274-nucleotide ribosomal RNA is filed under the name Cottus bairdii (mottled sculpin). RNAcentral describes it as "partial small subunit ribosomal RNA". Lineage: Eukaryota; Metazoa; Chordata; Actinopteri; Perciformes; Cottidae. The record is from RNAcentral.
GUUCUAAAACCGAUAACCCCCGUUCAACCUCACCCUUCCUUGUUUUACCCGCCUAUAUACCGCCGUCGUCAGCUUACCCUGUGAGGGACUAAUAGUAAGCAGAACUGGUACAACCUAAAACGUCAGGUCGAGGUGUAGCGUAUGGAGGGGGAAGAAAUGGGCUACAUUCGCUACCACAGCGAACACGAAUGAUGCACUGAAACACACAUCUGANGGAGGAUUUAGCAGUAAGCUGGAAAUAGAGCGUCCCACUGAAACUGGCCCUGAAGCGCGC